Molecule: ribosomal RNA, 1162 nt
Filed under: uncultured eukaryote
Lineage: Eukaryota
Description: bacterial SSU rRNA
Rfam family: Eukaryotic small subunit ribosomal RNA
Source: RNAcentral
UCCAGCUCCAAUAGUGUACACUAAUAUUGCUGCUGUUAAAAAGCUCGUAGUCACGAUUGAGACCCGGCCUGGUCAGUGGCCACGUUUGGAAGGACUGAGUAGCUCUUGUCGAGCCUGUAAAAGGGUGAGAUCAGACUCUUGGGUCGGCCCGUGGUACUUUGAAAGGUUUAAACACUGGCCAAUAGGUCGGGAUCUCAUUGACGAGGUUACUAACCAGGUGCUUAUCUUUUGCAAGGAUCCCUGGGCCUCAAAGUUACCGUGAAGAAAUGGGAAGGUUCAAGACAAGUGCUCUAAAGCACACUGAACAGGCUAGCAUGGGAUAACAGUGAAUCGACCAAGCAGAACGCAUGUCUUACACUGUUGGCUUCUUAGCGUCUGCGAGGAAAGACCGGGCAAUGAGGAUCAACAUGAAGCAGUGGUUUCGGCUGCUGUGGAGUGCCUCUUGUCAUGCGGGACGAAUGGGGAGAAGCGGGGGAAUCCGUAUUCCAUGGUCAGAGGUGAAAUUCUUAGACCCAUGGAAGACGCCCAAGAGCGAAGGCAGUUUCCAAGUGUCUCUCCGUUGAUCAAGAACGAUAGUAUGGGGAUCGAAGAUGAUCAGAUACCGUCGUAGUCCAUACCGUAAACUAUGCCGACUAAGGAUUGGGGAUGUAACCCUUUUGUAAAAGAAGACAGAGACAACUCCAGGACUCGACAAUAGACAUAAUAUCUUGACGAGAAAUCAAGAGUCUUUGGGUUCAGGGGGGAGUAUGGUCGCAAGGCUGAAACUUAAAGGAAUUGACGGAAGGGCACCACAAGGCGUGGAACUUGCGGCUUAAUUUGACUCAACACGGGACAACUUACCAGGUCAGGACAUCGCAAGGAUUGACAGACUGACGGCUCUUUCUUGAUUCGAUGCAUGGUGGUGCAUGGCCGUACUUAGUUGGUGGAGUGAUUUGUCUGGUUAAUUCCGAUAACGAACGAGACCUCAACCUUUAAAUAACACUAUGAUCGAUUGUAGGUUCUGGAUGACAGGCCCUAAAAGAGUCUAGGUGAAGCCUUUACGGGUGGAGCUAUAGAAUUUCUGUAGGAAUACCUGACGCCUAAUAAAAAGGAUCGAGAUCAUUAGCAGGUUUCUUUUAGGGACUGUGUCAGGUGACUACUGCGCGGAGGUUUGAGGCAAUAC